CAGGACUCGCAAGGCUCCUACAACCCUGUGAACCUACUAUACGAACGUUGCUUCGGCGGGUGCGCCCCGGGGAUUCGUUCCCGCGGCGCGUCAGCCCGCCGGCAGCCUACAAAUUCUGUUUCUUUGCGUUGGCAUCUCGAGAAAAACAAAUAAGUUA
Molecule: unclassified non-coding RNA, 157 nt
Filed under: soil metagenome
Description: partial internal transcribed spacer 1
Source: RNAcentral